This 1003-nucleotide long non-coding RNA is filed under the name Lathyrus oleraceus (garden pea). RNAcentral describes it as "Pisum sativum (pea) long non-coding RNA (PSAT_LNC005615)". Lineage: Eukaryota; Viridiplantae; Streptophyta; Magnoliopsida; Fabales; Fabaceae. The record is from RNAcentral.
AAAGGCCCAAUACCCAGGCUAUGAGUGAAAUCUAGGAAACCUAGGAAUAGAGUGAUUCAUGGGAAGCGGGUGGUAUGGCGCCACUUAGCGGAACAUUGAUAUCACGAGCAGUUCAGACCCUGGUGGGAUAUUGUCGUUACAUACUUCAGGUGUGUAUAUGAUGGUAUUCUGCGAAAGGUUAUUUAUGCUGUGUUUCUCUUCGACUUUACCCUGGCCUAGAUAACACCCGUGAGUGGGGAGGGUUUGAUCAUUACAGGUACAGUUGCUGAUUGGUUGGCGAUUUGUUGGUGACUCUUGGUACUGAUGGUGACUGGGAAUUAUGGAGCAUUUAUUUCUGGGACGCCAGAGUUCUGUCCAUGGUUUAUCAGCGUGUUCCGUUUAUUUCGGAUCCCCGGGCUGAUUUGAGAGUACUUGUUCAGAGGAUCCGUUUGUCACCCGUUCAGUGUUUGUUCCUGUGAAGAUAGUGAUAUAAUCUCCGGUUCCGUUUAUUUCGGAACCCCCCAAGUUGGAUUUAUGGUGACUUGAUCCCACAGAUAUGACUGGUUCAGAAAAGCAGAGGGUCUACAGUUGACUUGGUGGCACAAAGGCCUGCAUUCAUGCAUUUGCAUCAUAUCAUCUCGCAUUCAUCUGCAUUCAACUCAUGUCUGUCCGUACUCAGGGUCCAUUAUUUUUAAAUUAAAAAACCCCGGUUGAGAGACAUCCAGAUGUCAAAAUGUUGUUGAUGAAAUUUUAUCUGUCUCGAUGAAACCAGAAAAAAAGAGGACUGAAUAUUCCUAGUACGGACAGACAUUGCAUGUGUGAGUCAUACUAACCCAUUUGCUGUUUUGUAGGUUCCAGUAAUUCAACCGGUGCGCAUAGCUUGUCUGUUCAGAUAACCUGCUGGGAGUCAACAAAUUCAAGCUGAUGGAUCUUCUCAACGCCGAUAUCCUUGAGCUGAAAGGGAUGAUGAAGGACUUGUUCAGUGUUGUGCAAGGGCUUGCCUUGGGACAGAAGGCCAUGUCUG